This 480-nucleotide ribosomal RNA is filed under the name uncultured bacterium. RNAcentral describes it as "partial 16S ribosomal RNA". It matches the Rfam family "Bacterial small subunit ribosomal RNA", at positions 28 to 507 of the family's 1533-position model. The record is from RNAcentral.
GACGAACGCUGGCGGCGUGCUUAACACAUGCAAGUCGAACGAUGAAGAAAAGAAUUGAAGCUUCGGCAGAAAUUCAUUUCGGAUUAGUGGCAGACGGGUGAGUAACGCGUGAGCAACCUACCUCUUACAAAGGGAUAGCCUCGGGAAACCGGGAUUAAUACCAUAUAACAUUGCGACGAAGCAUUUCGAUGCAAUCAAAGCUACGGCGGUAAGAGAUGGGCUCGCGUCCCAUUAACCAGAUGGUGAGGUAACGGCUCACCAUAGUAACGAUGGGUAACCGGCCUGAGAGGGUGAACGGUCACACUGGAACUGAGACACGGUCCAGACUCCUACGGGAGGCAGCAGUGGGGAAUAUUGCGCAAUGGAGGGAACUCUGAUGCAGCGACGCCGCGUGAGUGAUGAAGGAAUUCGUUUCGUAAAACUCUGUUCUAUGGGAAGAAAAGGACUGUACCAUAGGAGAAAGCUCCGGCUAAAUACGUG